UACGUAGGGUGCAAGCGUUAUCCGGAAUUAUUGGGCGUAAAGAGCUCGUAGGCGGUUCGGUAAGUCGGGUGUGAAACCUCCAGGCUCAACCUGGAGAGGCCACCUGAUACUGCUGUGACUCGAGUCCGGUAGGGGAGCGUGGAAUUCCUGGUGUAGCGGUGAAAUGCGCAGAUAUCAGGAGGAACACCAGCGGCGAAGGCGGCGCUCUGGGCCGGAACUGACGCUGAGGAGCGAAAGCAUGGGGAGCGAACAGG
This 254-nucleotide ribosomal RNA is filed under the name uncultured bacterium. RNAcentral describes it as "partial 16S ribosomal RNA". It matches the Rfam family "Bacterial small subunit ribosomal RNA", at positions 524 to 776 of the family's 1533-position model. The record is from RNAcentral.